UGGGAGGUACAGGGUGGCUGGAGAGUUGAGAUGAACCGAAACACCGCUUGCCAGAGACGGGACCGUGUUCUGUUUCAAAGAUUGCUUUCUAUUCCUCAUCUUCCUUGGUUCUCAUAACAGUCCGAAGAGGAAUCCUAAGCAAAGUGAGGCUCAGGAACAUCUAGGGCAUCUAGGAACAGACUUGAAUCACCACACGGUGGG
RNAcentral lists this long non-coding RNA (201 nucleotides) under Homo sapiens (human). Its description in RNAcentral is "HSALNT0116519". Lineage: Eukaryota; Metazoa; Chordata; Mammalia; Primates; Hominidae. The record is from RNAcentral.